Molecule: long non-coding RNA, 2575 nt
Organism: Lagenorhynchus albirostris (white-beaked dolphin)
Lineage: Eukaryota; Metazoa; Chordata; Mammalia; Artiodactyla; Delphinidae
Exons: 3
Source: RefSeq, a predicted model, not a curated record
AAGCCCAGACACUUCCUGAUGACUGUGUCUGGGGCAGGUAAGGUUAGAUCACAGCUCACAGGCAUCCCCACCGAGGACGAUGCCACGAAGACGACUGUGAUGCCUCCCUGCGGCCCCCAGAACGUGCCCAGCCCAGCAAGUCCGCUACAUACGAAUGAGUUCCAUUCCGAGAGCGUGUUGAUUUGAGGCCUUGAGGGCAAACAGAGAUAACUUACCACCCACCAAAGGGGACCAGUUUGAACCUAAGUUUUAGCCUUUUCCCAUGUUAAAGCCAACAGUGGUUUCAACGUAUGCGCUUUAUCCAAGUCAGUGCUGCCUCAUCAAAAUUUCUCCAAACCCACUUACACAACCCGAAACCCCAACACAUCCUGGUCCCUGUCGAGAAUUCCUUCAAGGGGGAAGGGGCUGCCUAAGCACGUGCCAAGCUGGGAAGCCAGCGCUUCUGUCCACAACCCUGAUUGGCCGCCCAGGACAUGCCGUGGACACCUGGGAAGGAGGCAACAGAGCCAAAGGGCUGUUCUUCAGUGAAUCUUCUCCAGAGAUGGGCCAUCAGGUUUCAGGGCACUAAGCUGGUGAGACAGUAGUUCUUGUACCAAAACACAGCAGGUGUGAUCCAUCUCUCCAGAAAGCUCCACAGGCAGUGACACAGUCAGGGCACGGCAGAGCCCGCCCUGAUAGAGCCAGGGCACUGCCUGUGUCCGCCACGCCCCUUGGCGAGACGGGGCUGGUGUGUUGGACGUACCAGCAGGACGAGCCCUUCUGCAGCCGCCACAGGGGUACCAAGCCAGGGGUUGGGUCUCUGGGUCCCUCCCUCAUUCUGCUCAGAAAGCCAGCACCCCGGGGCCCCAAAACAAAGCACAGGAAGUGCUCACCUAGGCGAUUUUCACACUCUCCCGGCAGCCAGGCCAAGGGCAGGAGAAGAAUUCGGGAAGUCCCAGGUUCUUUCCCGACAUCACACCCAGGACUCACACCCUGGACAAGGCGGGACCUGCCGGGCUUUAGCCUGGCACAGGAGUCUACACUGAUGUGGACCACUCUGUAAUCAUUCUGGGUAACGUCCCAGUCGGCGGGAAGCUCACCUUCGGGGCCACACUUCCAGCGGCAGGUGGGCACAGUGUGGAGGCAGCCAGCUUCCAGCCACUCCCGGGUCUGGCAGCAAGGAGGGGUGGUGAGCGCCCCAGCUUGGGCUCGGAAAGACCUGCCUUCAAAUCCCACCUCGGCCUUCUGUCAGCUGGGUCCUGAACCCAUCUGGGCCCACUCAUCCCUGGACCUUGGAUGCUUUGGGGGAGAGAGCUGGAUGAUUAAAUAGGAUGAUGACAUUAAAACAUUCUGCAGCAUGCCCCUAAAUGCUCUCGCAUUCUCCUCCUAGUUAAAUCCUCUCUUUAUAUCAAUGGUGACCUGCUAGGAAGCAGAGAGCUGAUAAAGCUGACACUUAAAACGGACUCACACACCUCCCAGCCUGCAAAGAGGCCAUUUCAUCCCCAGCAGCCGACAGGAUCUACAAAAGACCAGUGUUCGCAGACUCCAACCCUCCUUCUGCCUGUCUGCCCAGAAGUCUCUCAUCUCGAGAUCUGCCCACUAGAUGUCAAUUUCCACCACCGACCGGGAGAGAAGCUGCUGUCUGCCACCGCUGCUUGCAGGGCAGGCUGGAGGGAGGGAAAAGGGAGGGACUCCAAACCUUGUUUUCUUUCUUUCAGGGUUAGAUAAAAGGAGAAAAAUUCUCUUGAAGGUCAAGUAAAAAUAAAACGAGAAAGUACUUAUAGAGCAAGUUCUGAUACAGCGCUCUUGGAAUUCCAGGACCAACUCAGGAAUGUUACCUGUGGUUCUGAAAAGGAUGUACCACUGAAAGAUGAAGACUUGAAACCUAGGGUGUGGGAAAAGUCAAGUGCUUGGCCCUUAGCCACGGAAUUUCUAUUCCCCAAGUGCAUCAACUUGGCCUUGGGUGUGACUGGCCUUUACAAUCCUAUCAGCUUUGUGGGAUUAGAUCCAGCUCCAGGUCACGAACAACCACUGACCCUGACGACUGCCUUUCCUGUCUGCUUCUGCUGAGCUGGAGAAGGCUCCCGGUGUUGCGGGCACACCCCAUGCUGGAGUUUUUCUGAAGCAGUCUGGAAAAUAAUGGACUUCCUACAAACUUUCAAAUGAUCUUUGCCCCCAGGAACCGUCACCAUGGAAACAAAGAAGUAAGGAAAGCUGCUUCCCUUCACCUGCAGAGGAGUGUCUGGGGAGUAACAUUGGAGCAUCUCGGAACCUUGCCCUUUUCUUUGUUUUGCUUUUACUCUGUGUGUGUCACGUCUCCCAAGAGUGUUUGCAUUUACAUUUUUGAAAUUUAAUUAAAAUUACAAACAUAAUACAUUCCCAUGAAAAACACAGAUUAUUGUAGUUGUAGAUGAAGAGCGUUGCCUGUCAUAUCAGUAAACAAAGGAUGUCAGGGCCAUCAGGCCAGCAGCCACUGCAGUUCCCUGCCUGUGCACCCUGAGGGGACUCAAAACAGGAUAGUGUCCCUAGAUAGCUACGGUGCAUACCGAGGAAUGAUGUCAAUGAGCCCAGACUCUUGCAUCUUUCCCAGAGGAAA